GUAGGUGGCAAGCGUUGUCCGGAAUUAUUGGGCGUAAAGCGCGCGCAGGCGGGGUCCUUUAAGUCUGAUGUGAAAGCCCACGGGCUCAACCGUGGAGGGUCAUUGGAAACUGGGGGACUUGAGUACAGAAGAGGAAAGCGGAAUCCCAAGUGUAGCGGUGAAAUGCGUAGAGAUUUGGAGGAACACCAGUGGCGAAGGCGGCUUUCUGGUCUGUAACUGACGCUGAGGCGCGAAAGCGUGGGGAGCAAACAGGAUUAGAUACCCUGGUAGUCCACGCCGUAAACGAUGAGUGCUAAGUGUUAGGGGGUUUCCGCCCCUUAGUGCUGCAGCUAACGCAUUAAGCACUCCGCCUGGGGAGUACGGCCGCAAAGGCUG
This 375-nucleotide ribosomal RNA is filed under the name uncultured organism. RNAcentral's name for it is "partial 16S ribosomal RNA". It matches the Rfam family "Bacterial small subunit ribosomal RNA", at positions 527 to 896 of the family's 1533-position model. The record is from RNAcentral.